Molecule: ribosomal RNA, 506 nt
Filed under: uncultured bacterium
Lineage: Bacteria
Description: partial 16S ribosomal RNA
Rfam family: Bacterial small subunit ribosomal RNA
Source: RNAcentral
AGUGAACGCUGGCGGUAGGCCUAACACAUGCAAGUCGAACGGCAGCACAGGAGAGCUUGCUCUCUGGGUGGCGAGUGGCGGACGGGUGAGGAAUACAUCGGAAUCUACUCUGUCGUGGGGGAUAACGUAGGGAAACUUACGCUAAUACCGUAUACGACCUACGGGUGAAAGCAGGGGACCUUCGGGCCUUGCGCGAUUGAAUGAGCCGAUGUCGGAUUAGCUAGUUGGCGGGGUAAAGGCCCACCAAGGCGACGAUCCGUAGCUGGUCUGAGAGGAUGAUCAGCCAACCUGGAACUGAGACACGGUCCAGACUCCUACGGGAGGCAGCAGUGGGGAAUAUUGGACAAUGGGCGCAAGCCUGAUCCAGCCAUACCGCGUGGGUGAAGAAGGCCUUCGGGUUGUAAAGCCCUUUUGUUGGGAAAGAAAUCCAGCUGGCUAAUACCCGGUUGGGAUGACGGUACCCAAAGAAUAAGCACCGGCUAACUUCGUGCCAGCCGCCGCGGUAA